UUCUUUCAGACUUUGAGAUUUGGACUCGGUGAAACUGAUGUCGUUCAGUUGUUCUUGACAAAGAUCAAGGGAUCGACAUAAGUUUGGCUAAGUUCUUUGUCCCCGUUUGGUUUCGAGGUUCGAUUUGGUGAGUCCUUUUCCCUCUCCGGUUUCCUUUCUGUCAUCCUCAUCUGUCCUUUUCUUAAAACUAGUUUUCUUAUAAUAAUUUGGUUGAAAAUUCAAUUCAUCUUCUGAGUCCAAUUUGUUAUUCCGUUCGUUAUUUUCCCUUUUCUCUCUUUUUCUUCGUGAAUUCCGUUUUGUGACAUUUUUAGUUGUUAAGCAUGUUAAGUUUCUGGUUUGUUAAAUCACUUAAUUAGGUCUUAAUUUAGUCGAUUUCCUGUUAAUUAGCUCAUUCAUCUUUGUCUUUGCUUGAUUGCAUUUUAAGGAAGGGGUUCUAGGUUUCUUAUAGGGAAUCCUUGAUGGAUUUUAAUUGGAAUCCAAAAAUCAGAAUAGCCCAAGAAGGAUUUGAAUUGGGUCUAGUUCAGACCCAUUCACUUGGGUCAUUUGGACCCGGGUUCUGCUAGGCUGGGAGGGUAAAUAAUUAGGGUUCGAGGGGUAGUCUAGGGGAUUUGCCUAAGGAAUCUUGAGUGUAACUGAAUAGGAAGCUUCCAGAAAGCUGGGGGUAGGGAUUAAAGUGAAUUUCUGGAAAUUAAGCUAGGGACACUUAAGCAAAAAAACAAAAUUCAAAAGGGGGCAAAGUGCAAAGAAUGACACCUUUCAACAGCCUAAUGCCUUGCCUAUAAAGGCAUCGUUACUUGAUAUUCAAGUCAGAUUUUGAAGACAAAAAUUCCUAAAAAAAGCUGAAACAGCUGAAUUCUUUUAAAAAGUUCCGAAAUUCCUAUAUUCCAUUGUGGAGGAACUAUCAAAAUCCUGCCUGUUUGGAUUUCUGAUUUCUCUUUAUUAGCUAAAGUACUUAAAGUUUGCCCUAGCUACACUUCUGGUUGAGAAAUGGCUUGAGCUUUUGGUUUGAAGCUGGUUUUGCAUUUGUUAUUCCCCUACUGUUCCAUCGUUUGUUCUUGAAUUGAUUCCACUGUUUCAUUGACUGAAUCUGGGCUCUUUUUCUGCUGUUGCUCUGCUGAUUCUGCACUGCUCUUGUUUCCCUUUUUGCCAGGUACACGUUCUUGAAUCUUGUACAAUGUGGUGCACAAGUUGAGGAAUGAAAUGGAAAUGGAAAUUUUGAAGCAUAACAUUAAGUUUCUUGUCUCUGAAAUGUUGGUACUGUUUUUCUUGGAAAUCAUCAGAUGUUAUAGAUUAGUUUUGAUUUUCCCUUCGUCAUGUUUACUCUUUGUUGUUUAGCCUUAAGUCUGCUUUGUAAUAUUGGGCGAACCAUGGACUUUAGCCAUUUAAUGAAUUUUAAUUCGUGUUAAGGGUUCUUUAAGGCUAUAGUUGCAGAAGUUUCAUGUCAAUUUAUUAUGUAUUUUAGACCCUAUUUAGUUUUGGCUGAGAUUUGCG
This 1491-nucleotide long non-coding RNA is filed under the name Nicotiana tabacum (common tobacco). Its description in RNAcentral is "long non-coding RNA (NTAB_LNC017395)". The record is from RNAcentral. Lineage: Eukaryota; Viridiplantae; Streptophyta; Magnoliopsida; Solanales; Solanaceae.